AGUUGGCAGGAAUGAGGAAUCUAUUAGAAGUGUGAUGGGAGAUCCUCCCAUGAACUCAUUUCUGGAGGCUUAUUGAUAUUCUGACCUGCUAUUC
Molecule: small nucleolar RNA, 94 nt
Organism: Dioscorea cayenensis subsp. rotundata (Guinea yam)
Lineage: Eukaryota; Viridiplantae; Streptophyta; Magnoliopsida; Dioscoreales; Dioscoreaceae
Product: small nucleolar RNA Z266
Exons: 1
Source: RefSeq, a predicted model, not a curated record